UACGGAGGGUGCAAGCGUUAUCCGGAUUCACUGGGUUUAAAGGGUGUGUAGGCGGAUUUUUAAGUCAGUGGUGAAAUCUCCGGGCUCAACCCGGAAACUGCCAUUGAUACUAUUAGUCUUGAAUUCUGUUGAGGUGGGCGGAAUACAUCAUGUAGCGGUGAAAUGCUUAGAUAUGAUGUAGAACACCGAUUGCGAAGGCAGCUCACUAAGCAGCGAUUGACGCUGAGGCACGAAAGCGUGGGGAUCAAACAGG
This 253-nucleotide ribosomal RNA is filed under the name uncultured bacterium. RNAcentral describes it as "partial 16S ribosomal RNA". It matches the Rfam family "Bacterial small subunit ribosomal RNA", at positions 524 to 776 of the family's 1533-position model. RNAcentral also lists the same sequence under 1 other name. The record is from RNAcentral.